UCUAACUUACAAUCAUUAUCUGGUUGGAGGACAAUGUCUGGUGGGCAGUUUGACUGGGGCGGUCGCCUCCUAAAGAGUAACGGAGGCGCCCAAUAGGUUCUCUCAGCACGGACGGAAAUCGUGCUUAAGAGUGCAAAGGCAUAAGAGAGCUUGACUGCGAGACUUACAAGUCGAGCAGGUGCGAAAGCAGGGCUUAGUGAUCCGGUGGUUCCGAGUGGAAGGGCCAUCGCUCAACGGAUAAAAGCUACCCCGGGGAUAACAGGCUUAUACCCUCCAAGAGUUCACAUCGACGAGGGUGUUUGGCACCUCGAUGUCGGCUCGUCUCAUCCUGGGGCUGAAGUGGGUCCCAAGGGUUGGGCUGUUCGCCCAUUAAAGAGGUACGCGAGCUGGGUUCAGAACGUCGCGAGACAGUUCGGUCCCUAUCCGCUGUGGGCGUUUGAAGUUUGAUGGGAGCUAUCCUUAGUACGAGAGGACCGGGAUGGACGAACCAAUGGUGCACCAGUUGUCCUGCCAAGGGCAUAGCUGGGUAGCUAAGUUCGGAAGGGAUAAGCGCUGAAAGCAUAUAAGUGCGAAGCCCCCCCAAAGACGAGACUUCAUAGACUCCUGAAAGACUAUCAGGUUGAUAGGCCAAGGGUGUAAGUACAGCAAUGUAUUUAGCUGAUUGGUACUAAUAGGUCUAUUGCUUACUUUU
This 691-nucleotide ribosomal RNA is filed under the name Deltaproteobacteria bacterium. RNAcentral describes it as "partial 23S ribosomal RNA". It matches the Rfam family "Bacterial large subunit ribosomal RNA", at positions 2221 to 2925 of the family's 2925-position model. Lineage: Bacteria; Pseudomonadati; Myxococcota; Myxococcia. The record is from RNAcentral.